RNAcentral lists this ribosomal RNA (207 nucleotides) under uncultured bacterium. RNAcentral describes it as "partial 16S ribosomal RNA". It matches the Rfam family "Bacterial small subunit ribosomal RNA", at positions 568 to 774 of the family's 1533-position model. The record is from RNAcentral.
CAUGCAGGCGGCUUGUUAAGCCAGAUGUGAAAGCCCGGGGCUCAACCUCGGAAUAGCAUUUGGAACUGGCAGGCUAGAGUCUUGUAGAGGGGGGUAGAAUUUCAGGUGUAGCGGUGAAAUGCGUAGAGAUCUGAAGGAAUACCGGUGGCGAAGGCGGCCCCCUGGACAAAGACUGACGCUCAGAUGCGAAAGCGUGGGGAGCAAACA